UGAGUAAUACAUCGGAACGUGUCCUGUAGUGGGGGAUAGCCCGGCGAAAGCCGGAUUAAUACCGCAUACGAUCUACGGAAGAAAGCGGGGGAUCCUUCGGGACCUCGCGCUAUAGGGGCGGCCGAUGGCAGAUUAUCUAGUUGGUGGGGUAAAGGCCUACCAGGGCGACGAUCUGUAUCUGGUCUGAGAAGACGACCAGCCACACUGGGACUGACACACGGCCCACACUCCUACGGGAGGCAGCAGUGGGGAAUUUUGGACAGUGGGGGCAACCCUGAUCCAGCAAUGCCGCGUGUGUGAAGAAGGCCUUCGGGUUGUAAAGCACUUUUGUCCGGAAAGAAAACCAUCGCCCUAAUAUGGUGGUGGGAUGACGGUACCGGAAGAAUAAGCACCGGCUAACUACGUGCCAGCAGCCGC
This 417-nucleotide ribosomal RNA is filed under the name uncultured Burkholderia sp. RNAcentral's name for it is "bacterial SSU rRNA". It matches the Rfam family "Bacterial small subunit ribosomal RNA", at positions 107 to 518 of the family's 1533-position model. Lineage: Bacteria; Pseudomonadati; Pseudomonadota; Betaproteobacteria; Burkholderiales; Burkholderiaceae. The record is from RNAcentral.